This 1029-nucleotide long non-coding RNA is filed under the name Amphibalanus amphitrite. RNAcentral describes it as "uncharacterized LOC122369688, transcript variant X1". Lineage: Eukaryota; Metazoa; Arthropoda; Thecostraca; Balanomorpha; Balanidae. The record is from RNAcentral.
UGCUAAUUGAUGAUGUGGGUACUGGGUAAUCCACAGCAACUGGUGUCAGUGUUCAUGUGUUACUGUUACGACAUAGUUGAUGCAGCAAUGCAAAGUAUCUAUGUACCAUGAAUUAACAACUCAAUCUUCUGCCAAGCUGCUGAAAGGAAGACUGGAGGGCCUUUAGCAGCAUUAGCAGUGGAACUUGGAAGGCUGCCUUGAGGCUGCCUGGCUGGCCUCUACAACAGAGACGAAGUUUAGAAGUAAUUUGUCAACAAUGUUGUCCAUGCUGCAAGAGGUGGCUGACGAGCACCAACCAGCGUGUGCAGCAGCCGUUCCGUUGUAAACGGUGCGCUGACCGCGGAGCCGGGGGUUGUCGACCGCCGGCUGGCACUCACCACCGUCCACCCCAAGCUGGCCAUCAUCGACUGGCUCGAGAACACCAGCACGCUGAGCCAGUUCAUCAGCUCGACGUGCCCCGACUUCGAGCAGCAGUGCGCUGAGACGCGCGAGCUGUUCACUGGGAGCAGAUGAAGCGACAUGGGACUCAGAGCGGCGCCACUGACGUGCAGCUGCAGCUGAUCGGAAUCGACAGGACACGUGUUCGCGGCUCGGCCACCACUCAUCAGCCUGCUGCUCCUGCCGUUCCGUCUGACGGCGCCGAUGACCGGGCUGGCGGCGUCUCUCGACGCGUCCGGCCACACCCGGCUGCAGGCGCUGCGCUCGUCGCUUUGGGUUGUAAAUGCCGGCGAGCAGUGAGGGUUGCCUCGCUGAGUCGUGUGGGCGCUCCUCACUGUAGAGGUCGCUGUGAGCGCUGUGCUCCUCUUCGACCAGAGGAUAGGUGGCGGUAGCGGUCGGUACGCAGCCAGCAGCGUACUGACACGUCAUAGACCGAUUGAAGGUCUUCAGUGCGUUAUGAAUAUGGCGCGGGUAGCUCGAUUCCGGCGGCGGCGUGACACGGUGACCCCUUGACCUCUAGCCGUGUCGGUCCGUGUGCGCGGCCCAUUCGCCCCCGACUUGGGUUGUCGAUGGCGGCUGCCGGCGCCCUUA